RNA transcript from Manihot esculenta (cassava), 2036 nucleotides. RefSeq lists it as uncharacterized. NCBI's taxonomy places the organism in Eukaryota, Viridiplantae, Streptophyta, Magnoliopsida, Malpighiales, Euphorbiaceae. The transcript has 8 exons. The record is from RefSeq and is a predicted model, not a curated record.
CUCUCUGUGUCUCUCAAACAGACUACAGCUGGUACUGCCCACUGUGCUCUCAGACUCUUAGUCCCCACACUCUUAAACAGCCUUGAAUUUGCAUCCAUGGCUUUGGUUUCCUUCUUCUCUGCGUUCUCACUUAUCUACUAACAUAUUCUGAUUUCCAAGCUGUAAUCUUCUUUAAAAUUGUUAACUUUUUCCUAUUCAUUUCUUCUAUCUUGUUCAAAUUUCCUUUUUGAAACUGUUCUGUUUGUUUGGGAGUCAUAAAGCUGGAGGCAUGAAUAAAGGGUUGUCUCUCAAAUUCAGUGCCAGUAUGGUUCUUCUCCAGGUGUUUUUGCUGCUUUUAAGUCUGAAUGGAUAUCAGUAUGUUAGAGGAUCUACGUUGAUGGAUAGACGGUUGGAUGAUUUUCUUCCUGAGAUCUCACCAAAUGCAGGUCCUCAGCCUUUUCUUCCUAUUCUCGCACCUUCUCCUUUGCAACCUUUCACCAACAGUUCUAUACCAAAGUUAUCAGGACUGUGUAUGUUGAACUUCACUGCUGCUGAAAGCUUGAUGAGCAUGACGUCAAUUGAUUGCUGGGCCUUUUUUGCACCAUUGCUGGCUAAUGUUAUAUGUUGUCCACAGUUACAAGCGAUGCUUGCAAUUCUUGUUGGCCAAUCCAGUAAAGAGACUAAUGUGCUUGCUUUAAAUGGGACUAUUUCCAAGUAUUGCCUUUCAGAUAUUGAGCAAAUUUUGGUAGGUCAGGGUGCUGCAAAUAAUGUUAAGAGAAUAUGCUCAAUUCAUCCCUCAAAUCUCACCGAAGGGUCUUGCCCAGUCAAAGAUGUGAAUGAAUUUGAAAGCACUGUGGAUUCGUCUAAGCUUCUUGCUGCCUGCGAGAAGGUUGAUCCUGUGAAAGAAUGUUGUGACCAAGUAUGUCAAAAUGCUAUAUCUGAAGCUGCUACAAGAAUUGCUCUUAAAACUUCUGAAAUCUUGAGCAUGGAAGGGACCCAUGGUUUACCUCAGCACUCAACUAGGGUUAACGAUUGUAAACAUAUUGUUCUCCGGUGGUUGGCAAGUAAACUUGAUCCUUCUCAUGCAAAGGAGGUUCUCAGAAUACUAUCUAAUUGCAAUGUUAAUAAAGUUUGCCCUCUGGUUUUCCCUGAAAUGAGCCAUGUUGCAAAGGGCUGUGGGAAUGGGAUAAGUAACACGACAGGAUGCUGUAGUGCCAUGGAUAGCUAUGUGUCUCACUUGCAGAAGCAGAGCUUCAUAACCAACUUGCAAGCUUUGGAUUGUGCUACAACUCUUGGGAGGAAGUUACAGAAAUCAAAUAUUACAAGAGAUGUUUAUAGCCUUUGUCACAUAAGCCUUAAGGAUUUCUCACUCCAAGUUGCAAAGGAAGGUGUGGUACUUUACGCAACCAUUUAUAGUCUGGAUGCCUUCUACCAAGCUUGCCUUCUGAUGCAACACUGGAUAAAUCAUCUGGAAUCAGCUUUAUUUGUGAUCUGAAUGACAAUAUUCCUGCGCCAUGGCCCUCUUCAUCUCAAUCAUCAGCAUCAUCAUGCAAUAAAACUGUGAAAAUCCCAGCACUUCCAGCUGCUGCAUCCGCUCAAAGUGGCCUUUAUAGUGAAGAUCUUGUAUUUUACGUGACGUUUGCCGUCACCAUCGUUAUCAUGAUGCUCUUGUAGACUUGUUGUGUCAUAUUCAAGGCAAUCUUACAUACCCAGAAGGUUUCCAUGCGUGAUAUAUCUUCACUAGAUUCUUGUAGAAUGAGGUCAUCAAAUUGAACUCAUACGAAAGAGGAUUCACAACUGCUGACCCCCCUGAUAAUCCAAGCUGUACCAGGUAGUCCUGAAGCCUCAGCUUGAUGUGAAUUUAAGUUCGUCUCACUGAUGUGUAUUAAUUCAUGAAUCUUGCAUGCUUGAGUAAUGAUUUUUCUUUUGUAAAGGUUGGUAUUUUUAAAAAAAUCGAAAAAAAUAAAAUAGAAGUAUACUGUUGUGUUUCAGUAGACUGUAUCGUGUAUAUUCAGACUGUUGAUGAAUUUGAUUUUUUAGUAUUCAUUGAUAUUGGA